RNAcentral lists this ribosomal RNA (460 nucleotides) under uncultured bacterium. Its description in RNAcentral is "partial 16S ribosomal RNA". It matches the Rfam family "Bacterial small subunit ribosomal RNA", at positions 338 to 795 of the family's 1533-position model. The record is from RNAcentral.
CCUACGGGUGGCAGCAGUGAGGAAUAUUGGUCAAUGGACGGAAGUCUGAACCAGCCAUGCCGCGUGCAGGAUGACGGCUCUAUGAGUUGUAAACCGCUUUUGUACGGGAAUAACAGUUCCUACGUGUAGGGAUUUGAAUGUAUCGUACGAAUAAGGAUCGGCUAACUCCGUGCCAGCAGCCGCGGUAAUACGGAGGAUUCGAGCGUUAUCCGGAUUUAUUGGGGUUAAAGGGUGCGUAGGCUGUUGGAUCAGUUAGAGGUCAAAUGUCGGGGCUUAACCCCGGGCCUGCCUCUGAUAAUGGUCGACUAGAGAGCGGAUGAAGCAGGCGGAAUGAGUAGUGUAGCGGUGAAAUGCUUAGAUAUUACUCAGAACACCGAUUGCGCAGGCAGCUUGCUAAUCCGCAUCUGACGCUGAUGCACGAAAGCGUGGGUAUCGAACAGGAUUAGAUACCCGUGUAGUC